Long non-coding RNA from Onychostoma macrolepis, 799 nucleotides. RefSeq lists it as uncharacterized. The record is from RefSeq and is a predicted model, not a curated record. The transcript has 4 exons. Lineage: Eukaryota; Metazoa; Chordata; Actinopteri; Cypriniformes; Cyprinidae.
UCAGAAUCGGGUUCACCGGACCUUGCAGUGACAGAAGGAGAACGUAAACAGGUCUUGACGGUGAGCAGACGGUAGAAACCCAAGCAUAAGUGCUUGUUUAACAUCAACACAACUUACUUUAUGCUCUUCGUUUGAGAGGCUCCAUGGCAUCUGUUGGGUGGAAAUAUUUAAAAUCUCUGAAAUAUGUCAGAGAUAUAAUGCUUUUGACGAAUGCUCGGCAAAAGGGUUUCAUGGACGAAAAAUGUCAAAUGGACAUUGUGAGGCAAGUUGAGGAGAGCAUAAAGCCCAAACCACAGUUUGAUCAUCAAAAAAACGAGAACAAGGAUAUGACACAGAUGGAGAACAAACAGAAAGUGUCACAAUCAAGAGCAAUAAAUACAGCAAAACUUAAAUGCAACAGCUUGGAGAGUCUGAGACCAAAUUAUUUUAGACCUUGGUCAUAUUUCUGAACUCAAACAGCACUUUCCAGUGGAACGGGUUUGGUCACCAUAAGCUUUUGUGUUAAACACACUACAUGUUUCUAUUCAACUUACAUUUCAUAAUCAGUCAAGAAGGCAGACUCACACAAUGACAGUUUUUUCCUUUUUUAAUUAUCUGUCACCUGUAUAUUGUUUCGUUUGAUGUACUGGGAUUUUAUCUUAUUUGUCUGAUAUGGUCACUGCAAAAUAAGCAUUAUUUUUCCAACCUUUUAUCGCAUUGUAUUUGUUUUAUUGCACUUUAUUGCUUGCACUAUUAAUACUUUGUGCAUUUAGUAUCUCAUGUGAAGCCUCACAUCAUAUAAACUAAAGUGUUUUUUGUU